This is a non-coding RNA of Trichobilharzia regenti, 48 nucleotides long. The record is from Rfam. NCBI's taxonomy places the organism in Eukaryota, Metazoa, Platyhelminthes, Trematoda, Strigeidida, Schistosomatidae.
ACCCAGUUGACGAGUCCCAAAUAGGACGAAAUUCGCCUUAUCCUGGAU